GGAUGAAUGAUGAGGCUUGGAGUGAUUGGAUGAAAGACACACCCCUUUACUUGCUCUCUCGGAAAUCCCCGAAAGUUGAUGUUGCUGAAGUGAAUAAUCAGAUGCGAUUUUCUAUCACUGGACUACAUAGGAAUACUAUGCACCCGAAGCGAAGACGAAGUUAUAUCAUACUGAGAGGUAUCUUGGAAACCUGUAUGCUAUACCAAACAUG
Molecule: long non-coding RNA, 211 nt
Filed under: Lathyrus oleraceus (garden pea)
Lineage: Eukaryota; Viridiplantae; Streptophyta; Magnoliopsida; Fabales; Fabaceae
Description: Pisum sativum (pea) long non-coding RNA (PSAT_LNC038382)
Source: RNAcentral